UUAGCAGACAACCUCUUUCUGGCUUUGAGAGAAGUCCAAAUGGGAACUAUUAACAAAGGCACGCGCACAGUUUUAUCUCCAUCAGAAAGUGCUUUGGCGGCCUGAUUCUAGAGCAGCAGUAAGCCACCUGAGAGAAGACUUGAUGAAUCUAGCCCCUGACUAAGAAUGUCAGAGGCAACACAGUGUGCCCUGAGGUCUACCCUAAGGCCCCAGCUUCCAUGGCCUGUCCCCAAAGACUUGCCCACUUGCAGGAUCUCCCACACCCACUCCCAGGAACCAACCAGCUUCCUGACAGGAAGCAAUGAAGCUGUUGAAGUUUACAAAAGGGGGUCCAUUGCUGUGGUUUAUGCAACCUCCCUUCGUGCAUUUGUUUUCUCACGCAUGCUGGGUUACAGAUGGGGAUAAAACAUGCAUAUAAUAGGCUCCAAUCACGGCUCUCAGACACUGGAUAGCGCCAGGGCAGGAUGGUAAAAGCCAGCAGUGGACAGAGCAGCGUGAUCCUUCUUCUCUUACCAAACCCAGAAAGACCACCUAACUCAGAGUGUUCCCAAUCAGUGCCUCCACCAUAUAGUGUGAGUGGGCAGAAGGGGAAGGAUUGAGAGUCCUACCAUGGUGGUUCUCAACCUCCUUGAUGCUGCGACUCUGUAAUGUAGUUCCUCAUGUUGUGGUGAACC
This is a long non-coding RNA of Apodemus sylvaticus (European woodmouse), 674 nucleotides long. RefSeq lists it as uncharacterized. The record is from RefSeq and is a predicted model, not a curated record. NCBI's taxonomy places the organism in Eukaryota, Metazoa, Chordata, Mammalia, Rodentia, Muridae. The transcript has 5 exons.